Molecule: ribosomal RNA, 468 nt
Filed under: uncultured bacterium
Lineage: Bacteria
Description: partial 16S ribosomal RNA
Rfam family: Bacterial small subunit ribosomal RNA
Source: RNAcentral
GAUGAACGCUGGCGGCGUGCUUAACACAUGCCAGUCGAACGGAAAGGCCCAAACUUGCUUGGGUACUCGAGUGGCGAACGGGUGAGUAACACGUGGGUGAUCUGCCCUGCACUUCGGGAUAAGCCUGGGAAACUGGGUCUAAUACCGGAUAGGACGAUGGUUUGGAUGCCAUUGUGGAAAGUUUUUUCGGUGUGGGAUGAGCUCGCGGCCUAUCAGCUUGUUGGUGGGGUAAUGGCCUACCAAGGCGUCGACGGGUAGCCGGCCUGAGAGGGUGUACGGCCACAUUGGGACUGAGAUACGGCCCAGGCUCCUACGGGAGGCAGCAGUGGGGAAUAUUGCACAAUGGGCGCAAGCCUGAUGCAGCGACGCCGCGUGGGGGAUGACGGCCUUCGGGUUGUAAACUCCUUUCGCUAGGGACGAAGCGUUUUUGUGACGGUACCUGGAGAAGAAGCACCGGCUAACUACGUG